GCAUAUCAAUAAGCGGAGGAAAAGAAACCAACAGGGAUUGCCUCAGUAACGGCGAGUGAAGCGGCAACAGCUCAAAUUUGAAAUCUGGCUUCCUCUGGGGGUCCGAGUUGUAAUUUGCAGAGGGUGCUUUGGCGUGGGCGGCGGUCUAAGUUCCUUGGAACAGGACAUCGCAGAGGGUGAGAAUCCCGUAUCUGGGCGCCUGCCUUCGCCGUGUAAAGCCCCUUCGACGAGUCGAGUUGUUUGGGAAUGCAGCUCUAAAUGGGAGGUAAAUUUCUUCUAAAGCUAAAUACCGGCCAGAGACCGAUAGCGCACAAGUAGAGUGAUCGAAAGAUGAAAAGUACUUUGGAAAGAGAGUCAAAUAGCACGUGAAAUUGUUGAAAGGGAAGCGCUUGCAGCCAGACGUGCCCGCAGUUGCUCACCCAGGCUCCCGCCUGGGGCACUCUUCUGCGGGCAGGCCAGCAUCAGUUUGGGCGGUCGGAUAAAGGCCUCUGUCAAGUAUCUUCCUUCGGGAUGACCUUAUAGGGGAGGCGCAAUGCGGCCAGCCUGGACUGAGGUCCGCGCUUCUGCUAGGAUGCUGGCGUAAUGGCUGUAAGCGGCCCGUCUUGAAACACGGACCAAGGAGUCUAACAUCUAUGCGAGUGUUUGGGUGUCAAGCCCGGGCGCGUAAUGAAAGUGAACGGAGGUGGGAUCCCUUCGGGGUGCACCAUCGACCGAUCCUGAUGUCUUCGGAUGGAUUUGAGUAAGAGCAUAGCUGUUGGGACCCGAAAGAUGGUGAACUAUGCUUGAAUAGGGUGAAGCCAGAGGAAACUCUGGUGGAGGCUCGCAGCGGUUCUGACGUGCAAAUCGAUCGUCAAAUUUGGGCAUAGGGGCGAAAGACUAAUCGAACCAUCUAGUAGCUGGUUCCUGCCGAA
Molecule: ribosomal RNA, 911 nt
Filed under: Montagnula chiangraiensis
Lineage: Eukaryota; Fungi; Ascomycota; Dothideomycetes; Pleosporales; Didymosphaeriaceae
Description: partial large subunit ribosomal RNA
Rfam family: Eukaryotic large subunit ribosomal RNA
Source: RNAcentral